GACGGAGGUUGCAAGCGUUAUCCGGAUUUAUUGGGUUUAAAGGGUGCGUAGGCGGGCUUAUAAGUCAGCGGUGAAAGACUGUCGCUUAACGAUAGCAUUGCCGUUGAUACUGUAGGCCUUGAGUAUAUUUGAGGUGGCGGAAUGAGUAGUGUAGCGGUGAAAUGCUUAGAUAUUGCUCAGAACACCAAUUGCGAAGGCAGCUCACUAAACUAUAACUGACGCUGAGGCACGAAAGCGUGGGGAUCAAACAGG
Molecule: ribosomal RNA, 252 nt
Filed under: uncultured bacterium
Lineage: Bacteria
Description: partial 16S ribosomal RNA
Rfam family: Bacterial small subunit ribosomal RNA
Source: RNAcentral